UCGUAGUCCGGAUUGGAGUCUGCAACUCGACUCCAUGAAGUCGGAAUCGCUAGUAAUCGUGGAUCAGAAUGCCACGGUGAAUACGUUCCCGGGCCUUGUACACACCGCCCGUCACACCAUGGGAGUGGGUUGCAAAAGAAGUAGGUAGCUUAACCUUCGGGGGGGCGCUUACCACUUUGUGAUUCAUGACUGGGGUGAAGUCGUAACAAGGUAACCGUAGGGGAACCUGCGGUUGGAUCACCUCCUUACCUUAAAGAAGC
Molecule: ribosomal RNA, 260 nt
Filed under: Salmonella enterica subsp. enterica serovar Typhi
Lineage: Bacteria; Pseudomonadati; Pseudomonadota; Gammaproteobacteria; Enterobacterales; Enterobacteriaceae
Description: partial 16S ribosomal RNA
Rfam family: Bacterial small subunit ribosomal RNA
Source: RNAcentral